GUCAGGGGAUUCGAAAACCCCCAAAUAAGAAAAAGGUUUUUUGUUUUUUUGGGAAGAAGAAAAGAAAAGGAAGCCAAGUUUCGUUUGAAUUUCGAACAACAAGUCAUCGAUCUUCUCUCUUCUCUGAUUGUGUGUGUGAUGGUGAAAUCCAAAGAGAAUGCUUCUGGUUCUUCUUCUGUGGCUCCAUUCCUUAACAAAUGUUACGACAUGGUGGAGGACGAUUCCACCGACUCCAUCAUCUCCUGGACCGAACCCUCCGGCCACACCUUCGUCAUCUCCGACAUCACCGCUUUCUCCGUCACCCUCCUCCCUACCUAUUUCAAACACAACAAUUUCGCCAGCUUCAUCCGCCAACUCAACAUCUAUGGUUUCAGGAAAGUCGAUACGGAUCGCUGGGAAUUUGCGAAUGAAAACUUUGUUAGGGGUCAAAAGCAUUUGCUGAAGAAUAUACGCAGAAGGAAACACCCGCACGUUACGGAUCAACAAAAAGCAUUGCCGGAGCAUAACAAUUCUGAUGAACCGUCACGAGAAGCACCUAAUCAUGGCCUUCGCAAAGAAGUUGAGAAUCUGAAAUCCGAUAGAAAUUCCCUCAUGCAGGAGCUGGUCCAUCUCAGUCAGCACCUGGAAUCUGCUGAGAGUAAGAUGCUUGUCCUGAGUGAUCGCCUUCAAGGAAUGGAGAAGCAUCAGCAGCAGAUGUUGUCAUUCUUAGUCAUGGUAGUGCAGAGCCCUGGGUUCAUGGUUCAGCUGCUUCAUCCGAAGGAAAAUAGCUGGCGCUUGGCUGAAGCAGGGAACAUGUUUGACCCUGGUAAGGAAGAUGACAAACCGGUUGCUUCUGAUGGGAUGAUUGUACAGUACAAACCACCUGUAGGUGAAAAAAGAAAGCAUGUAAUUCCAAUUCCAUUAUCUCCUGGUUUUGAUAGGCAGCCAGAACCUGAGCUUUCUGCAGAUAGGUUAAAAGACUUGUGCAUCAGUUCAGAGUUCUUGAAAGUGCUUCUGGAUGAAAAAGUGUCUCCACUAGAUAAUCAUUCUCCAUUUCUUCUUCCAGAUUUACCGGAUGAUGGCUCCUGGGAACAGCUUUUUCUAGGUAGUCCUUUCCUGGAAAACAUUGAAGAUACUGAUCAUGAAAAUGAGGAGCCUACUGUUGGUGGAAUGGAGAUGGAAGCCACUAUACCAGAAACUCCAAAUGAACAUUCUCGGAUUUUUGAGUCAAUGAUUAUGGAAAUGGAGAAAACUCAAGUGUAAGUUGGAAUUAUAUGCUUAUGGGGAUAAUUUGGAGGGGCCGUAGAGCUUGGAAUCUCAAAUUGAGCAAAUGGAACUUGUAGCCUCUAAAACUAACUAGAUAGAGGCAAGGAAGUAAUAAUUUCCAGCAGAUCUUUUUCAGCUGGGCUAUCUUCACUGAUUAUCUCGUGCUGUAGUUAUAGAAUUAAGUCACAAUAUAAGUUUUUUCUCUUCCAUCUUCCUGCAGCGGUGAUCUGUAAUCAGUAUCUUUGGCAUCUUGAUAUGGUGCCCAACUCCUUGGAGUUAUAUGGCCUUGUGCCUACCUCUGCAUGAUAGGUCAAAUAUUUCUUAUGAAAAGCAGCCUCAAGGAGCUUUAUCUUUUGUGCCUAGUUAAGCAGUUACAAAUGACUUCAUAUAUGUUAUAAAGUUCUCAUGCAAUUCACAGAAAUCAUGGUUUCUUGACAUAUUAUUGCAUCA
Molecule: RNA transcript, 1695 nt
Organism: Lotus japonicus
Lineage: Eukaryota; Viridiplantae; Streptophyta; Magnoliopsida; Fabales; Fabaceae
Gene name: heat stress transcription factor A-8
Exons: 3
Source: RefSeq, a predicted model, not a curated record